AGUGAACGCUGGCGGUAGGCCUAACACAUGCAAGUCGAACGGCAGCACAGUAAGAGCUUGCUCUUACGGGUGGCGAGUGGCGGACGGGUGAGGAAUACAUCGGAAUCUACUUUUUCGUGGGGGAUAACGUAGGGAAACUUACGCUAAUACCGCAUACGACCUACGGGUGAAAGCAGGGGAUCUUCGGACCUUGCGCGAUUGAAUGAGCCGAUGUCGGAUUAGCUAGUUGGCGGGGUAAAGGCCCACCAAGGCGACGAUCCGUAGCUGGUCUGAGAGGAGGAUCAGCCGCACUGGAACUGAGACACGGUCCAGACUCCUACGGGAGGCAGCAGUGGGGAAUAUUGGACAAUGGGCGCAAGCCUGAUCCAGCCAUACCGCGUGGGUGAAGAAGGCCUUCGGUUUGUAAAGCCCUUUUGUUGGGAAAGAAAAGCAGCAGGUUAAUACCCCGCUGUUCUGACGGUACCCAAAGAAUAAGCACCGGCUAACUUCGUG
Molecule: ribosomal RNA, 492 nt
Filed under: uncultured bacterium
Lineage: Bacteria
Description: partial 16S ribosomal RNA
Rfam family: Bacterial small subunit ribosomal RNA
Source: RNAcentral